RNAcentral lists this ribosomal RNA (332 nucleotides) under uncultured bacterium. Its description in RNAcentral is "bacterial SSU rRNA". It matches the Rfam family "Bacterial small subunit ribosomal RNA", at positions 568 to 898 of the family's 1533-position model. The record is from RNAcentral.
AGCGUAGGCGGUUGGAUAAGUUAGGAGUGAAAGCCCGGGGCUCAACCCCGGGACUGCUUCUAAAACUGUUCAACUUGAGUGUGGGAGAGGAAAGUGGAAUUCCUAGUGUAGCGGUGGAAUGCGUAGAUAUUAGGAGGAACACCAGUGGCGAAGGCGACUUUCUGGACCAUAACUGACGCUGAGGCUCGAAAGCGUGGGGAGCAAACAGGAUUAGAUACCCUGGUAGUCCACGCUGUAAACUAUGGAUACUAGAUGCAGGGGGUAUCGACUCCUUCUGUGUCGUCGCAAACGCAAUAAGUAUCCCGCCUGAGGAGUACGGCCGCAAGGUUGAA